Long non-coding RNA from Lates calcarifer (barramundi perch), 1618 nucleotides. RefSeq lists it as uncharacterized. The transcript has 6 exons. The record is from RefSeq and is a predicted model, not a curated record. Lineage: Eukaryota; Metazoa; Chordata; Actinopteri; Centropomidae.
GGUAGUGGUGAUCAUUUAACAGAAAUUAAUUAACAAGUCAAUAAUCAUUUCUUGUUUUGGGGCGGCACGGCGGUGCAGCAAGAUGGAGGUUGGAACCCUGGUUCACCCAGGUAUUUUGUGUGUGGAGUCUGCAGUCUCCCUGAGUACUCUGGCUUUCUCCAGGUUAGGUUACUUGGUGAAGGUGGGUGUGAAUAGCUGUUAGUCUCUAUAUGUCAGCUCUGCCAUAAACAGCUCUGCAAAUCAAAUUAGGACCGCGACUAAUGGUUAUUGAUUACUGCUAAUUAUUUUCUCAAUUAAUCAUUGAAUCAUUUUGUUCAUAAAAAGCCCCACAGCCAAAAUGAAUGAAUGAAAACCUGCAGAUUAACUGAUCAUUACAGCUCCAAUUUAAAUAUUUAAAAAUGACACUGACAAUGACACCUUAGGUUCUGAGAAAGUUUACAGGCCAUUUUUAUUCAGUAAACAGUUCAUCAAAGAUUUAAAAAAUGUGAAUAAAUCAGAAGGGGUACAGUCCCACCACCAAGUUAUAAAUAACAGCAGAGGAUAAAAAGAUAAGGCUUAAUAUCCAGCAGAAUUGAUCUCGGCACAAACAGGUUAGUGUGUAAUAAAGAGCAACAGAGGUGUGCUUUAGCGUGUGUUCUCAGUUGCCAAGUAAAAUAAGAGUUCUUCCAGCUUAGUGGCUCAAUAGGGAAACAACUGCCUGAUUAAAUAAGAAUGUGUUCUGUGUCUGCUUGCCGAGUCAGAUAACGACGACGAGGUGGAGAAGAUACAGCAGCUGACCGUAUCCAAACACACGGACAGAGGAGCGCUCUGUAGACCAUCUGUCGCAGCAAACAGGUUCAGAUGCUGCAGCCUGGACACAAACACCAGCUCCCACCUUAAAAAGCAAACAGAGGCCUGGACUACGAAGGGAGUUUAACCCACUCUGAUUUAACUCGGGUUAUCAAGGAACGUCGGGGUUGACAGACGUCGGCUGCCAAGAUAUCAGUGUCUCCACUUCACGUCCACAAUCAGAGAAUCUUUGGACAAUGAAGGAAUUGUUUAGACCAGGACAGAGGCCUCCAGAAUUCAAACUUCAACCAUUAAAUCACAGAGAGAAGAGACAGACAUGAAGAUGUUUCCAGAAGGUCUCUGAAACGCCACCAGUGCUGUCGCAUAUCCCAUAACGCCAGGGAGUCAAGAGCGCUAGGACAGGCGUUCACACUUUGUCUGCUUCAGAAUCACUUCUGUCUCCGACCGACCCUCCUCCCACUGAAAUCAACACGACUCAACUCUACUGUGACAUUGAGUAUUUUUAACUGUUUUCCAUGCUUUACUAGUUUAUGACAGUAUUUAAGUGUUUAUGAUUGUUUGUUAUGCUUUACUGUAUUAUGACAUUUUUGACUGUUGUUCACUGUUUUGUAUGUCUUUUUAUUGUGUGACAAUAAAUUGUGUGUGUAUUGUGUUUCCUGUUAGGAAGAGAUAGCAGAGGAAUGAGAGUAAAGGGAUGGGACAUGCUUUGGCCCAGCCCUUUACUCAGAUAGGACAGUGUAGAUGAUGAUGAUUUUUUUCUGGGUUUUUUUGCAUUGACAUUUUUUUUAUUUUUCCAUUCAAAUUUUUGAGAUUUUCAUUUUUUCAAUGU